UUUAGGGGUUAAAAAUGUCAUAAAACUUUAGGUAAAAGUAUAAGCGAUAAAGUUGAUUACCUCAGAGAUAGAAAACCUUUUCUUAGACUGACACCGAAAGCACACAUUGAGAAAAUAGGGAUGCGUUAUUAAUACAUUACAAUUGAAACUUCUGAAUGGCGAAAUACACCAAGAACAAACUAAAAAGUAACAGAUGUGUUGAAUUAUUUGAAUGAAUUUAAAAGAUAAAAACUGCCAAAAUAAUAAGAAAAGACAAACAACCUUUCAGAAAACUGGGUGUGGGAUAAAAAUUGCCUAGUAACAGAGGAAACAAUGGAUCACAAAGGCACUAAAUUGUGCUCGAUUGUUUGGUAAUUAAGAUAAUACAGACUAAAAUUAUAAAUUAUUUUUAUACUGAUCAUGUUGGCAAAAAUCACAAAUCUAAUAAAAUCCAAUGUUGGCAAUGAUAUGGUAAAUAUUUUUUAAACCUGAUAAGCCCAUAAAUGGGUAUAAUUGAUUUUUGAGAGCAAUUUGUUAAUAGAUGCUAAAUGUCUCAGACAAAAAAAACCACUUGUUCAUGAUGAAGGAUCACUUUUAUGUAUUACUGUAUCCAAUUUGCUAAUUUUGAUUCAGAGUUUAAUGUUAAUGUUCAUGAGGGAUAUUGUUCUGUGAUUCUCUUUCUUGUGAUAUUUUCAGUUUUGUUUUUAGCCUAAUAUUGCUGUAAUAAAAUGGUUUGAGAAGACUUUCCUCCUUUAUUUUCUGAACAAAUUUUGCGGAGGUAUUGGUAUUAUGUUCAUUUAUGUGGUUGUGUGUGGUAGGGUAGAUAAUUUAAAAAUUCAACAUCUUUAAUUGACAUAGGGUUAUUAGUGUUUUAUGUUUAUAUCUGUAAUCUUUUAAAAUUUCUAAGGGUUUGUGCAUUUCCACAAGUUGUCAUAUUUAUUAGCAUAAAAUUGUUUAUGAUAUCCUCUUUUUUCCUUUUAAGGUCAGUAGGAGAUGUAAUGAUGUUUCCUGUUUCAUUCUUGAUAUUGACAAUUUGUGGUUUCUGUGUUCUUUUCCAGAACUGACUGUCCAGAUACUUAUUUAUGUUCUUGAUCUUUAAAAACAAAAAAAAAAAAGAAAAACGAUUUUGGUUUAAUUACUUUUCUCUAUUUUGUUCUUUGGGUUUAAAUUUUUCCUCUUUUUCCAGUUUCUUAAGGUGUGAACUCUGACUUUGUAUAUUUAUCUUUUUUUAAUAUAAACACCGAUUUAGCAGCAUUUCACAAAUUUUCACAGGUUAGAUGUUCAUCUUCACUCAGAUCAAAGUAUUUUUUCAGUUUCUCUUGUAAUUUAUUCCAUGACCUAUGGUGAUUAUUUAUAAGUAUAUUUUUAAAUUGCAACCAUUCAGUGUUUUUCUGGUGACAUCAGCAUUUUCAUGGCUUAGUGUUGGUACAUUGUAUUCAUUUCCUAGAAUUGCCAUAGAAAAAUACCAUGGACUGGUUCCUUCAACAAUAGAAAUUCAUGUUCUCACAGUUUUGGAUGCUAAUCCAAGAUCGAGAUGCUGGCAGGGUUGGUUUCCUCUGCGGCCUCACUCUGGCUUACAGAUGGCUGCAUUCUAGCAGCCUCUUCACAAGAUAUUUUCUCCGUGUGCAACAUCCCUGGUGCCUCUCCUGUUCAUCCCAAUCUUUUCUUCUUAACCAUUUUUUCCUACUGUAUUAUAGAAAUAACUAAAGAAGAAGGAAGAGUUAUGUGCCUUAUACUAUGAUGAAGAAGGACACCCACACCUUACCUAACAUGUACAUUAACACCUGCAUUGGCAAAAACCUAAAAAAUAAAAUAUUUACUUAGCAAAGAAACAUAUUUGCAUGAGUCUUGCUUUCCUA
This 1838-nucleotide long non-coding RNA is filed under the name Homo sapiens (human). RNAcentral describes it as "HSALNT0348221". Lineage: Eukaryota; Metazoa; Chordata; Mammalia; Primates; Hominidae. The record is from RNAcentral.